RNAcentral lists this ribosomal RNA (763 nucleotides) under Prevotella melaninogenica. Its description in RNAcentral is "bacterial SSU rRNA". It matches the Rfam family "Bacterial small subunit ribosomal RNA", at positions 28 to 776 of the family's 1533-position model. The record is from RNAcentral. Lineage: Bacteria; Pseudomonadati; Bacteroidota; Bacteroidia; Bacteroidales; Prevotellaceae.
GAUGAACGCUAGCUACAGGCUUAACACAUGCAAGUCGAGGGGAAACGGCAUUAAGUGCUUGCACUUUUUGGACGUCGACCGGCGCACGGGUGAGUAACGCGUAUCCAACCUUCCCAUGACUAAGGGAUAACCUGCCGAAAGGCAGACUAAUACCUUAUGGUCUUCACUGACGGCAUCAGAUGUGAAGUAAAGAUUUAUCGGUUAUGGAUGGGGAUGCGUCUGAUUAGCUUGUUGGCGGGGUAACGGCCCACCAAGGCAACGAUCAGUAGGGGUUCUGAGAGGAAGGUCCCCCACAUUGGAACUGAGACACGGUCCAAACUCCUACGGGAGGCAGCAGUGAGGAAUAUUGGUCAAUGGGCGAGAGCCUGAACCAGCCAAGUAGCGUGCAGGAUGACGGCCCUAUGGGUUGUAAACUGCUUUUGUAUGGGGAUAAAGUCAAUCACGUGUGAUUGUUUGCAGGUACCAUACGAAUAAGGACCGGCUAAUUCCGUGCCAGCAGCCGCGGUAAUACGGAAGGUCCGGGCGUUAUCCGGAUUUAUUGGGUUUAAAGGGAGCGUAGGCUGGAGAUUAAGUGUGUUGUGAAAUGUAGGCGCUCAACGUCUGACUUGCAGCGCAUACUGGUUUCCUUGAGUACGCACAACGUUGGCGGAAUUCGUCGUGUAGCGGUGAAAUACUUUAGAUAUGACGAAGAACUCCGAUUGCGAAGGCAGCUGACGGGAGCGCAACUGACGCUUAAGCUCGAAUGUGCGGGUUUUCUAACAGG